AGGCCACACAAAGUUUGGAGGUCUGUAGCUAUUGACUCUGCAGAGAGUUGGCGACUUCUGAGCACUUCAGCAUGUGCUGACAAUGCUUUACAAU
This is a long non-coding RNA of Nanorana parkeri, 94 nucleotides long. RefSeq lists it as uncharacterized. Lineage: Eukaryota; Metazoa; Chordata; Amphibia; Anura; Dicroglossidae. The transcript has 3 exons. The record is from RefSeq and is a predicted model, not a curated record.